This 447-nucleotide ribosomal RNA is filed under the name uncultured bacterium. RNAcentral describes it as "partial 16S ribosomal RNA". It matches the Rfam family "Bacterial small subunit ribosomal RNA", at positions 29 to 523 of the family's 1533-position model. The record is from RNAcentral.
AACGAACGCUGGCGGCAGGCUUAACACAUGCAAGUCGAACGCCCCGCAAGGGGAGUGGCAGACGGGUGAGUAACGCGUGGGAACAUACCCUUUCCUGCGGAAUAGCUCCGGGAAACUGGAAUUAAUACCGCAUACGCCCUACGGGGGAAAGAUUUAUCGGGGAAGGAUUGGCCCGCGUUGGAUUAGCUAGUUGGUGGGGUAAAGGCCUACCAAGGCGACGAUCCAUAGCUGGUCUGAGAGGAUGAUCAGCCACAUUGGGACUGAGACACGGCCCAAACUCCUACGGGAGGCAGCAGUGGGGAAUAUUGGACAAUGGGCGCAAGCCUGAUCCAGCCAUGCCGCGUGAGUGAUGAAGGCCUUAGGGUUGUAAAGCUCUUUCACCGAUGAAGAUAAUGACGGUAGUCGGAGAAGAAGCCCCGGCUAACUUCGUGCCAGCCGCCGCCGUAA